Molecule: ribosomal RNA, 460 nt
Filed under: uncultured bacterium
Lineage: Bacteria
Description: partial 16S ribosomal RNA
Rfam family: Bacterial small subunit ribosomal RNA
Source: RNAcentral
CCUACGGGAGGCAGCAGUGAGGAAUAUUGGUCAAUGGGCGCGAGCCUGAACCAGCCAAGUAGCGUGAAGGAUGACUGCCCUACUGGUUGUAAACCUCUUUUAUAAAGGAAUAAAGUAAGGUACGUGUGCCAUGAUGCAUGUACUUUAUGAAUAAGGAUCGGCUAACUCCGUGCCAGCAGCCGCGGUAAUACGGAGGAUCCGCGCGUUAUCCGGAUUUAUUGGGUUUAAAGGGUGCGUAGAUGGGUUGUUAAGUUAGGUGGGAAAGGUUGCGGCUUAACCGUAGAUUUGCAAUUAAUACUGUCAGUCUUGAGUACAGAUGAGGUAGGCGGAAUUCGUGGUGUAGCGGUGAAAUGCUUAGAUAUUACGAAGAACUCCGAUUGCGAAGGCAGCUUACUAGACUGCCACUGACGUUGAUGCACGAAAGCGUGGGUAGCAAACAGGAUUAGAUACCCUUGUAGUC